This 769-nucleotide ribosomal RNA is filed under the name Liocarcinus navigator. RNAcentral's name for it is "SSU rRNA". It matches the Rfam family "Eukaryotic small subunit ribosomal RNA", at positions 51 to 796 of the family's 1831-position model. The record is from RNAcentral. Lineage: Eukaryota; Metazoa; Arthropoda; Malacostraca; Decapoda; Polybiidae.
AUGCAUGUCUAAGUACAAGCCGAUUUAAGGCGAAACCGCGAAUGGCUCAUUAAAUCAGCUAUGAUUCAUUGGAUCUGUACCCACACUUACUUGGAUAACUGUGGUAAUUCUAGAGCUAAUACAUGCACCACGUCUCUGACCGCAAGGGAAGAGCGCUUUUAUUAGUUCAAAACCGGUCGGGCCUCGGUCCGUCACCCCACCGUGUUGAAUCUGAAUAACUUGUCGCUGAGCGCACGGUCUCCGCACCGGCGCCGCCUCUUUCAAGUGUCUGCCUUAUCAGCUUUCGAUUGUAGGUUAUGCGCCUACAAUGGCUAUAACGGGUAACGGGGAAUCAGGGUUCGAUUCCGGAGAGGGAGCCUGAGAAACGGCUACCACAUCUAAGGAAGGCAGCAGGCACGCAAAUUACCCACUCCCGGCACGGGGAGGUAGUGACGAAAAAUAACGAUGCGAGACUCAUCCGAGGCCUCGCAAUCGGAAUGAGUACACUUUAAAUCCUUUAACGAGGAUCUAUUGGAGGGCAAGUCUGGUGCCAGCAGCCGCGGUAAUUCCAGCUCCAAUAGCGUAUAUUAAAGUUGUUGCGGUUAAAAAGCUCGUAGUUGGAUUUCAGUUCUGGACUGACGGUUCACCGCCCGGUGCACACUGUCACGCUCCGAACAGCCACAACAGCCCGCUGGCUCGCACGGGGUGCUCUUCAUCGAGUGUCCCGCGUGGCCGGCAGAGUUUACUUUGAAAAAAUUAGAGUGCUCAAAGCAGGCUACACUGACGGCCU